CUUCCUUUAGUAUUUCUUAUAAUUCAAGCCUUCUGAUAAGUACAACACUGUGUAUUUGAAAAGCAUAAGAGAUUCAGAAAACAUAUCUUCCACCAGAAAGUGUUCACUAUUUGCUUUAAGUAGUUUUGGUAUUUUCAAAGUAUUGUUACUGAUCAGGGUCCCUGGACUCCUUAAUCAAAAGAAAUUGAUAAGAGACCAGACAAGGAAUUCAGACAAGGCUUUACUGGGACUCCUGCUGCAGUGCAAGGAAGCAAAAACAGGACAGAACUCCUCGGUAAACCUUUUGUGCACAGAUGUCUGCCUCCAAGUCUGUUUCCUGUGGACCUCAAUCUUAAUAAGCAGCAGACAUUACAGGAGGAUCAAUUGCUCUAGAAAAUGGAAAGUUUUUUUUUUCCCCAUUUAAAGCAGUUGAAUCUCUUCAACAAAAUUCUUGUCUGGAAACAUCAUCAUGUAAAUAUGGUGAAAGGGGAGUUUCUGUACUUGAAGUGGGAGGGAGUGCUACUGUUUUUGCCUAUUUUGGCUCCCUUAUUCUGUGCCAAGAUAAUUCUCAGAGGGCUUUACACACCCACUAGGUCUCAUCUGAGUACAGUUCAAAAACCAGUAGGAAAAUCACAGAAUCCAUGGAAUAGAGUAGGAAAGAAAACAAGGUCAGGCUGUUGAGUGCUUUGAAUGUCAGGACAGGAAAUCUGAACAUUAUUCUGGAGAAUACUGACAGUAGUAAAUUCAGGGGCUAACGUGAUCCGAACUGCAUUGAGGCAAAUGGGUAAACAUAUGGGGAAUAAAUGAAAUCUCUACCUCACAUUGUAUAACAACUUCCAGGUAGAUUACAUACAUACAUGUAAUGAAGUCAUAAAAUUAGUAUAAAAUAUAUAAAUGUGUACAGAGUCUUGGGGUUUUCCUUAAAAACAUGAUACCACAAGAGUUACCUGGGGGCAUUCUUUUUAAGCAUGAUACUCCAGAAAGAAAAAGAUUGACAGAUUUAGAUGAAAAAUUAGAAACAUCUGCACAUGUAAAACACCCUAACUAAAAAAGAAACCCAAAUGAUAAUUGAAAAAUAUAUUUUGAAAUAAAUAGAUUGAGAAUUACUAUCCUGGAUACAUAAAAGGCUCAUGAAAAUCAACUUAAGAAUAGAAAAAUUGGGUAAAGUAUAUGUAGAAAUAAUU
Molecule: long non-coding RNA, 1163 nt
Organism: Cervus elaphus (red deer)
Lineage: Eukaryota; Metazoa; Chordata; Mammalia; Artiodactyla; Cervidae
Exons: 4
Source: RefSeq, a predicted model, not a curated record